CGGACGGGUGAGUAAUGUCUGGGAAACUGCCUGAUGGAGGGGGAUAACUAUGGAAACGGUAGCUAAUACCGCAUAACGUCGCAAGACCAAAGAGGGGGACCUUCGGGCCUCUUGCCAUCGGAUGUGCCCAGAUGGGAUUAGCUAGUAGGUGGGGUAACGGCUCACCUAGGCGACGAUCCCUAGCUGGUCUGAGAGGAUGACCAGCCACACUGGAACUGAGACACGGUCCAG
RNAcentral lists this ribosomal RNA (231 nucleotides) under uncultured bacterium. RNAcentral describes it as "partial 16S ribosomal RNA". It matches the Rfam family "Bacterial small subunit ribosomal RNA", at positions 99 to 334 of the family's 1533-position model. The record is from RNAcentral.